AUUGUUCCUCCCUCCAAUAUAAUCAUAAUAGUUUCUCUCAAAGCUCAUACUUUCAAUACAUCAACAGGCAUAGAACUCGCAUUUCACAGCAAGCGAUGUAUGUAUAUACAUAGUUUUUUAACUUUUUUCUAGAGUAUCUAAAAUUUUUGAUGUAAUUUUGGUACAUGUCAAUUGUCAUAGUGUUUUAGAUGUUGAUGAGAUUAUUUGGUCACUUUUUAGCCGUUAGUUUCUUAGUGCAUCCUAUUGAACGUCUUCUUAUUAAUUUUUCUGUUGCUUUGAACAAUGCAAAUAUUUUCAUAAAAUACUAUGCUUUAACUUUUGCAAA
This is a long non-coding RNA of Beta vulgaris subsp. vulgaris (sugar beet), 325 nucleotides long. RefSeq lists it as uncharacterized. Lineage: Eukaryota; Viridiplantae; Streptophyta; Magnoliopsida; Caryophyllales; Amaranthaceae. The record is from RefSeq and is a predicted model, not a curated record. The transcript is spliced from 2 exons.